AAACAGCAGAGGUGCAGGCUGGGGCUCUUAGCAGCUGUGGCUGCCCCCUUGCAUCUCUCCAGAGGAUGAGAGGAUUGUUGUAGUAAUGAUUGAAGGGUAAGAAGUGUGCCACUCGGGAAACUCGACUGCAGAAUUUGUGGUCGUGGGGGACUGCGUUCGCGCUCUCCCCUG
Small nuclear RNA from Onychomys torridus (southern grasshopper mouse), 171 nucleotides. RefSeq annotates it as U1 spliceosomal RNA. NCBI's taxonomy places the organism in Eukaryota, Metazoa, Chordata, Mammalia, Rodentia, Cricetidae. The record is from RefSeq and is a predicted model, not a curated record. The transcript has a single exon.